GAUGAACGCUGGCGGCGAGCCUAAUACAUGCAAGUCGAGCGAACAGAUGAGGAGCUUGCUCCUCUGACGUUAGCGGCGGACGGGUGAGUAACACGUGGAUAACCUACCUAUAAGACUGGGAUAACUUCGGGAAACCGGAGCUAAUACCGGAUAAUAUAUUGAACCGCAUGGUUCAAUAGUGAAAGACGGUUUUGCUGUCACUUAUAGAUGGAUCCGCGCCGAAUUAGCUAGUUGGUAAGGUAACGGCUUACCAAGGCAACGAUGCGUAGCCGACCUGAGAGGGUGAUCGGCCACACUGGAACUGAGAAACGGUCCAGACUCCUACGGGAGGCAGCAGUAGGGAAUCUUCCGCAAUGGGCGAAAGCCUGACGGAGCAACGCCGCGUGAGUGAUGAAGGUCUUCGGAUCGUAAAACUCUGUUAUUAGGGAAGAACAAAUGUGUAAGUAACUAUGCACGUCUUGACGGUACCUAAUCAGAAAGCCACGGCUAACUACGUG
This 497-nucleotide ribosomal RNA is filed under the name uncultured bacterium. RNAcentral's name for it is "partial 16S ribosomal RNA". It matches the Rfam family "Bacterial small subunit ribosomal RNA", at positions 28 to 507 of the family's 1533-position model. The record is from RNAcentral.